RNAcentral lists this long non-coding RNA (3940 nucleotides) under Macaca fascicularis (crab-eating macaque). Its description in RNAcentral is "lncRNA (ENSMFAG00000052128.1)". Lineage: Eukaryota; Metazoa; Chordata; Mammalia; Primates; Cercopithecidae. The record is from RNAcentral.
UCUCAACAAAAAUUGUGUGGGGGUUGUUUUUGUUUUUUGAGACAGGUUCUUUCUCUGUUGCCCAGGCUGGAGUGUGCAGUGGAACAAUCAUUGCAGCCUUGACCUUCUUGGCUCAAGCAAUCCUCCUGCCUCCCGAGUAGCUGAGUCUACAGGUGUGUGCCACCAUGCCUGAAUGGAUAUGCAGUUUGUUUUUUUUUUUCUGUUUUUUGUUUUCUCUUUAAGACACGAGGUCUCACCGUGUUGCCCCGGCUGAUCUUGAAUUCCUGGGCUCAGGCAUUCCUCCUGCCUCAGCCUCCCAAAGUGCUGGGAUUACAGAUGCAAGCCACCAUGCCUCAUCUGUUUGCUGAUUUAAGACAGGUUUAUGUGCAUUAUUAUCUUUAGAGGCACGUAGAAUCUAGACAUAUACUUGAAACUUGGCUCUCUAUCCUGAAAGUUGAAGUUAGAGUUCUUUGAUCCUGGUGAGAUGUUAAUUGUAAUUUUAAUUUUCACAUGUUAAUAUUGUGACUUAUAUUUUGUGAUGAGUCUCUAAAAUGAUUAAAUGACUUAUUUUUUUUAUGAAAAAUUUUUUGUUAAUAAAAUAUCAGAGUAUUUUGAGUAUGUGGAAGGAAUGCCUGAAUAGAAGCUGAUCUAUCUUAACAUACCUCAAUAACUCCAGUUUUAAUAUGGUGAGUGAGGAGUUGACUGGGAGAAGGAGAGAUCCAGUUCUUGUUCUAGUCCUUGGCACAUACACUCUCUGGGUUUUGAGAAAAGGAUGGUCCUACCACAGUUCUAAGUUGUUUUCUCAAAGGCAAAAACAUGAUUUCGAAAUGACAUCACUUGUCAGAUUUUCUGGUAUGUGGAAAGAUUGAAUAAUCCUGCAUCUUUUGAAGCCUGAAACAUACAAUCUAAAGCCUGAAAUCUACCAUAAGGAACUUGGUAAAUUUUGUCAGAUACCAUGAAAAUGCACCUCUUCAUAGUUAACCACAGAUUGUAUAUGUAAAGGCAAAUUGGUGAUCAGGCUCAAGGUAAAAUAAUUAUUUGAAUGGAUUAUUGGGUUGAUUAGUAGCCAAAAACUAAAUGCAUGUUCAGGUCAAAAUGAAUUUGUUCAUUUUAGUUGGUACCAUUUUCCUUUUAUUAUUCAGAACUACAGAUUGUGCAUUUUAUUAAUAGGAAUGAAAGCUCAUGCUUACGGAUUUGAGUAGGGUGGAUGUAUAUAUUUUAUAAAUUCAAGUUGCAAAAUAUGUAAAGUCACUACUUUUUAAAUAGAAUAUAAAUGUUAAAACAGACAAAUCUAUGUUAUAUAUUUUUUAAUACAUAUAUCAGACUUGUUAGUUGAAUGCAGAUUACUUUGUGUGCUUUAUGGAAUUUCAUAACUUUUAAUAAUAAAGCAGUUGUCACUGGAUUUUUUUCUGUAGACUUGAAUACUAAAUGGGAUAGAUACCAGACCUCUUUUUGGUUUAUGAUGUGAAACUUCAUUUGUACAGUAGUUUCUCUUCACAAAAGACUGAAUUUUAAAGGAUUAUAUAAACAGGAACAUGUCCAUUUCCAAAAUGAGUGCAACAGAAUGAAGAUAGUCACUCAAACCAUCUAUUUAACACAUCAUCUUUAUGUAAUAUGUAGCUAGUUUUAGUGUUUAUGUUUUAAUAAGUCCCAAUUAAAGACUGAGCGUUUUCAGAGAAGAUGGAAAUGGAGACCCAGGCACUUGUUUAGAGUUAUCGUGAGUCCGAUGUUUCUGAACUUCAAGUUGUACAAUUAAGGACAUACUGUAAGAACUUCUGGAUGCUUUCUGGAGUAUACAAACAGAUCAACUAAUGACUUAAAUGAGUGACUCUUGAAGCUGCAAGAAGAGGAAGGAAAUAACCACAAGAAGGGGCUAUCUCAGCGUCUGUUAUUUCUGACAGGAAGAAUUAAAUAUGCUCUGCUGGUAAUUUCUAAGUGUUCUUUUCUACAGGGGAUCUGCUUGCCUCAGGAGCACCUUAAUCCUCAUUGAGGCAGCCAUUCUGCCAUAAAAAUGAUCAUGUUUCAAACUGUUCCUGCCGUCCUACACAACUAUGUUAGUAGAUGGUUAGAUAAAUAUAUGAACCAUCUUCUUUUGUACUUUGAUGGUGCCCUUUUCCUUUAUUAUAAUCCUUAAAGUAAUUUCUACUUUCCAUAGUAGGAUUUGACUUUUCUCCACUACUUUAAGCUACUCUGGAUAAGUGAUUCUGUUUAUGUCCUCCCUAUAUUUCUCACUGAUUUUCACACUAACAUAACACAUAACAAAGUUAAACAUAAGCUAAAUUGAAGGAUCAAGUGACACAGCUAAGAGUUUUGUGUACUUGGAUAAUAAAGCUCAAAGCCACAGUGGUUAUCUGUCCUGUUGGGAGCCCCUUUCAACCAGUUUUUUAGUUGCCUGUGAGAUUUAUUUUUAAUGUUUGCCUGCGUGAUGCAGAAUACAUAAGUGGGAAUCCCUACACCCUUUACAGUUAAGUGGAUUAUGGAAAUAAUAAGGAAAGUUUAUCCCAAGAUAGGAAGUAUCUUCUCAUGUGUGUACCUGGCCUUCAAGGACUUAAUGUGGGUGAAUAUAUAUCAUCAGACAAGAUCCUAAUAUAGAUGGCUGUAUCCUGCAGAUAGCCAAUUCAACAUUAAAAUUUUAUGUCUCCAUAUUCACCCCAAUGAAAACAUAUUUAUUUUAUCCUGCUAUAAUUUAAUGACAUUCCCAUCCAACCUAGUUAACCAGGCAGUGAUACUCAGUAGUCCUCUCCUUGCAUUUUUCAAGUCCUGUUGAGUGUAACGUUAAAAUGUCUCUGAGAUUUCUACCUUCUCUCCGGUCUCGUUACCAUUAGGGCCUUUCACUACCUGGCCUUGGUGUCCCUAGGCUGCUCUUCAGCCAUCCACAAACCUUGUUUCAUAAGCAGUAGCAAUGCAACCCUCCACUGUCCUCUGCUAAUGUUCUUCCCUGUUGCUAGACUGUUCAUGAUCUGCAUUUCUACCUGAAAGGUCUAGUUUUCAAAGGUAGCUGAAAGGUUGUCAUCCAUGUCCUUUCUUCUCUCCCUACCAGUCAUCUAUCCUGAACUUUUUAACACUAGGGACAGUGUGGCAAUUGUGUUUGUGUCCCCAGCACAUAGCACACAGUACCUAGUAUACAGUACCUGUAGCGCAUAGGCAUUUAAUAAGUGUGUAUUGAAUUAACUUGGUUAUACUUGUAUUUUUAUCCUAGCUUUCUCAAAGAAACUUAGGUGGUAGCUAUUUUGAAACAUACAUCAAGAAGCACCACCUGAGUAAAAUGUUAUAGCAGAACCCUGCUCUUUCUAUCCCAGAGAGUUUGAGAAAAUUACUUUUAAAUAAAUCAUUAAUCAUUCCUCAUUGGUUUUGGCUGCUUUUUUAUAGGUGUUUCUCAUAUCUUUAUCUCAGGCAAAUUGCUUGUCACAAAUUAAUUGUUUUAAACUAAAUACAUCUCAGGAACCAUAAAAUCAUAAAGGUAAACCUGACAUAAAGUUAAAAACCAACAUUAAGCAGAUAAUUAUUGUGUACCUUUCAUGUGCCAAGAAGGAUGGCAGAUAAAGUAUAUAUCUUCAAAGGGCUUAUGUAAUAAGGGGGAUAAUAAAUAGAAAAACAUAUCAUAAAAUGUUACAAGCCUUAAGAGGUGCAGAUAGUUUCUGAUUAUCACAGAAACAUGUCUGCCAAAAGUACUGUAACGCAUAAAGAUAGACGGGCCAGGCACAGUGGCUCACGCCUGUAAUCCCAGCACUUUGGGCGAGUGGAUCGCAAGAUCAGGAGCUUGAGACCAGCCUGGCCAACAUGGUGAAACCCCGUCUCUACUAAAAAUACAAAAAUUAAUGGCGUCUGUAAUCCCAGCUACUUGGGAGACUGAGGCAGGAGAAUAGCUUGAAUCCGGGAGGCAGAGGUUGCAGUGAAUUAAGAUCACGCCAUUGCACUCCAGUCUGGGACAGCGAGACUCCAUCUCCAAAAAAAAAAAAAA